Long non-coding RNA from Canis lupus familiaris (dog), 775 nucleotides. RefSeq lists it as uncharacterized. The transcript has 3 exons. NCBI's taxonomy places the organism in Eukaryota, Metazoa, Chordata, Mammalia, Carnivora, Canidae. The record is from RefSeq and is a predicted model, not a curated record.
AGUAUUUUUAGGUUCCUCUCCGAUGAACGCGUAUGGGCCUUGCCCGAAAAGACCAGCGUGAGCACCCUCGGCCCUGCUUGGAGUCCCGGGAAAGCGGGGCCUGCGUCCUUCCCAGCCACUUCACAGGCAGGUGUCCUAGUUGCUCCAAGAACAGAAAUAGCCAUUGUCUGCCUCACGGAGAGGAGGGAGGGGAGCCAGGGAAGCCGCCGCACGGCAUCGCCAGCUCCGUGCACAGGCAGAAACAAUGCCAUCUUCCCGAAAGGAAAUCGGCAAUAAAAACUCCUGCAGGACUUCCUAUUCAGAGUUUUUCCCAUUUGGACCCGAAAAGGGCGGCCCCCGCCCCUCCCAGCGCCAAGCCCACCACCACCGAGACGCUCCCACCACGUUCACAGGCUUCAGGAGAACUCGAAGAUUUUAUUACACCGCUGGUGGAGGAGGCAAAAUUCCAUUCCAAAUAUAAUGAUACUUUUGGAGUCUGAAAACCUGCGAACUUUUAAAAAUGAGGCGAAGCAGAUUGAACAGUCCUUCUGACGGAAGCGUAGACGCAGAUGUGCAAUUGAGAACUCCAGGACUUGGCCCGACAGAGCUUUUUAACGUGAUGCUAGUUGAUUGGAUGCUCCUUUGCCAUUGAGGGAAGCUUCAUAUUUUGUUUUUCUUUCUCUGUAAGUGGGCAAGUAGGGUAAGUCUGUAUGAACCCGUGUGAUUACUGCAAGAAAUUCUUUCCUUGCUAAGCGCCGUGUCUAGAGUGUGUGUAUCGCACUGGGCAGGGCUCUCU